AUUGAAAUAGAUUUUUUUGCCUACACCCCACUUUUAGCUAUUUUUAUUAGAAUGUGUCAUAAACCUCAUGAUUCAGAUUUUUCUUUUAGAUUUAAAUAGCCAGAUGUCCUUUAAAUAAGUCAGACAUUGGCCUUCCUAUUCAUUGGCAUAUUUACUGCUGUUCCAGACAUUCAGUCUUUGAAUACCAUUUUUUCCCCUAAGAAACGGAAGAAAUACUAGAACUUAAAAGUAAGACCUAUUUUUUUGAAGUAUAGCAUCCCAAUAACUAAUUUUAUCAACCUUUAUGUAUGUGAAGGUGCUUAUAUUUCAUUUUCAUAUUUUGCAGAUUAUCUUUCUUAGAAUAAAUAACUUGAUUAAAAAAAAACAACCUCUCAGCCUGUGAUAGUUUGAAUGUAAUUGUCCCCCAUAAUUUCAUAGCAAGGUGUGGUUAGUUGGAGUGGAUAUGAUCUUGUUAGCAGAAGUGUGUCACUGUGUGGGUGGGUUUUAAGGUUUCCUAUGCUCGGGAUUCUGCCCAGUGUUUUAGUCAUCUUCCUGUUGCCUGCAAGAUGUAGGACUCUCAGCUACUCUUCUAGCACCAUGUCUGUCUGCACACCACCAUGAUCCCCAAUGAUAAUGGACUGAACCUCUGAAACUGAGAGAGAACAGUGUUAAACCCAGUUGCAGAGAGGGAGGAGUGAUGAGCAAAGAGAUCAAGGCUGGGCUGGUGAAACCCACAGAAACAGCUGACCUGAACAAGGGGGAGUGCAUGGACCCCAGACUGAUGUCUAGGAGGCCAGCAUGCGACUGAUCCAGACCCCUGAACGUGGAUGUCAGUGAGGAGGCCUCUGCCCAAGACCAUCUGUUGUUUGUAAACAGAAACUCCAAGUAGUAAUCCCCAUUUGGAUGCUUCAGUAAAAGAGACUAAGAAGUGUUGUCCAUCUUAUUCAAGGCCAUUAUAAAAGCCACGGAUUGUUCCGAAAGUCUUCAACUUUUGGAGAAAGAUUUUGUCUAUGAUGAAGGAAUUAAAUAAUUGAGAAAAAUCUGAAAGAAAUUCUCUAUGUGAAAACUUUCAGACCCACCUUGACUCAUUUCCUGUCUGUCUGUCUGACUUGGAAGUUCCAACAUGCUCAUGGGAGUCAGAUGGGAGUCCACGAACUGAGAAUAAAAUUGAGGAUGAAAGAGACAGGAUUUAGCAAUAAAAGACCCAAAUAAACACAAGACCAAAGAUCUCUGACAAAUAAAAGCUUCCCUCACAGAGACACACAGCACCAACUCAAAUGUUCACCAGGGAACCAAGGGUGAAGAAAUGUGGCCAGUGGAUACAACAGAAUGGUGUUCAGUCAUAAAAAGGAUGACAUUCUGACAGAGCUUUUUGAUGAAGGUCUAGUCCAAUGGGAGAUAGAAGAAAGAUCUGCUGCCUUCUACCCUCUUCUAUGCUGCUUACUCAAACAGAGGGAAAGUCACAACCAGUCUGCAUUGCCUGAUAUUAGAGCGUGCUCUUACAUGAGAAAUACAAUUGUAUCUUAAUCUAAUAUUAUUUUAUUUACAAGUAUUUUGUUUAUGUUGUUCACAUUUCCAUGGCUGACUCCAUAGCUGACAAAACAGUUUUUGCUGUAGGGGUGACUCUAAGGAGAAUGGUUACUUUUUAAGUGUGUUUAGUAGACUUCCAUCUGAUUACUCAUAACUUUUCAUCUACUCAUUUUUUCUUUGAUGGGCUUUAACCUGGUGCUGACAUCCUUUAUCCUGCAGCUGUUUAAUAUGAAUGUUUCCAUUUUGUUUUACUCUAACUAGCUCUUGUCAAGGGGUUAAGAUUGGGCAAUCCCUAGCCAAACUGGCUUCCUUAAGAGUAUGUGUAUGUCAGGUGGAGCCUUUGCGUUGGCCUGGGUGGAAAAGGCAUCUUUGUAAAACAUGUGGUGUCUACUUAAAAGCUGAGCUCCUGGUUAGUAUUUACUGGGAAAUUCAAAACAAUUUCCCAGUUCAGUUAGCCAGCAUAACAUUGCACAGAUCUGGUUUUCUGCCUGGAACAUCCAGUACCAAGCCGUGCAUUUCCCUCAAAUUGAAAUUCCAAUCUCAGUAUGGUCUCCACAAUAUCCCUCUUAUUUUCUGCUAGUAUUCCAAAACCCCUCCCUGCCUAUGCUGGGUCCAGGCUUUCUCUUUGUUCCUCUCUUCAGAAUUUAGGUAACCAUGGUGAAUUCACCUGCUGCUCAGGUGGAGGGUGGUGCUUUUAGCCUGAAAUCCAACUGGGUUUGACCCGUAGGCUUCAAAUCCUCAUUUUACUCCCAUUGCCAGUAUCAAGUACAACAUUUUAAAGUAUUGACUUAGGUGACCCAACCCCACUGUUGAAAGGAAAAUGUCCUGGAAAGCAAGAGCAAUUUCACAGUAAUGCAUUAAAGGGAACACUUAGUCCCCAGCACUGUUUCCAAUAUUCUUUGUGUCCUUUUCCAUCACCUAUACUAACACCAAGGUUCAUCUGGCUUCAUCCUAGAGGGAUUCUGCAUUCUUCUCCUGGGUGAAUCUCAUAUUCUCCCCCAUGUCUUUUCUUACUGUUUCACAAAAGCACAAGAAAGGUUCCUCCAAAGAGCAUACAGAGUAGCAAAGAGGUCAAAAUGGAACAAAACACAAUCCCUUGUUGAAGUUAGAAGAGAAGACUGUGAGUAUUUAUAAAUUGAUUUGUAAUAACAGACCAGGCUGGACUUCCUACAUAGCUAAGGAUAGCCCUGCAUUCCUGAUCUUCCUGUUUCCACCUCCCAAGUGCUGGGGUUACAGUUGUGCACUGCCACUCCUGGAUGAGUUCACACGUUGUACCUUAACACAGAGACAGAUGGAUAUUCAUCUUUUUUUCUUUUAAAAUUUCUUGUAUAAUGGUGUAUUUGAUUGACACGAGUGCUUGUGAGUUUGAGGACACCAUCAGGUUCUGUGAUCCCCAAAAUCACCCAUAGCUGAUACUUGUUGAUUUUGUAGUCACUACACUUUUAUAUACAAGAGCAAGACAAAGGUGUAAAUGUUGACAGUAGUCAUAGUAAGUACUUUACACCAGAUGUGAAAUUCGUGGAUGAAAAAGGAUGGGCCCAGGAAAUUCACCGAAGUGGUGGAAUUCUUUUUCUUUAACACAUAAUAUUUUGGGGAGAAAAUGGACUAUUUCUUGGGGAUGAGCUUCAGUGAUCGGGAGUAGAUGAAAAAUAAUAAUGGGAAAAUAAUGGAAACCACUGAAAUACUUCUCAGUUCCUCAUCACACUCAGCAAAAGAUGGCAAAGGACUGUCCCAGAACCCAGGGCAAAGGAUCCUGAAGAUGUGUGGUGAAGGGAACCAUGGGCCAGUCAUAGUUUUGUCAUAAGCAAUUUUGAAGGUGGUUGCUUGAUUGUUGUCUCUCCACCAGAAGCUAGUCAAUGGGUUACCAUGAAACAGAGGUAGAGCCAAGUGAGUGGUUCUGAGAGUCCUUUCAAAGAGAUGGACAUUUCUUAGACAAAGCUUCAGCAGUAUGAUUUGCAAAUUACCUUCUAAAAAUAUCAACUAGGCUCAAUAAAAUAUGAACUGCAAUCAAUAAGGCACAGAGGAAUACAUGAUAAAUGGACAGAUAAACGAACUAGGAGGUAUGUUAACUGUUAGAAAGGAAAAUGUAAGCAUAAUGAAAAAUAGACAGUCCUGUUCUCACCAAGUGUCCCUGCAUGCAUGGGUACAGACUGAAGCUCAUAUGUGAAUCCCUGACCUCAAAUAGGAUCAUGUUGAGUGAUGGGCAACAGAAAAGUGGGCCUCAAGGCUGAUUCUCUUACAUGAAGGCAAAUAAACACCUGGACUCUGGGCAUAGUGAGAAAGUGACAUCUGCAAACCAGGAAAAGGCUUCACCAGAAACCAACCUUGGAGACUCCUUGACCUUGAACUGUAGCCUUCAGAAUGAUGAGAAAGAAAAUGAACCUUUGUUUAGGCCCCAGUCAGCAUAACACUAGAGAGUAAAACACACUGAAUGGGUGUGUAAAGCUGGGACCAGAGUGAUGGAAGAGGGGCAGUAUAGCAGUACCUGGGAACCUCCUUCGGAAUGUGAAGAUCUAGAGAAAGAAACAGGAAGGUGGAAGAUUUGGGACAUGGAGAUUUUGAGUAUAUCUUUUUAUAAGAAAAUGACACCAAAAAUAGUAUCUAGACAAUAUUUACAAAUAUAAAUUUUAAUGCUUAGAUGAUGAAACUGCAACGAUUGCUCAUAAAAUGACUCCUUAUAAGAAAACAUAAUCAAUUAUGAGACUAACAACUUCUUUUAGUCCCACACUAUUGAGCAGGUCUAAGAUUAAAGAAUCUUUAAACCCUGGUUUCCAAGUGUGUUUUGGACAACUCAAGGCACCAGGACAAACUCCCAGGGCACUGUGGAAGUAUUUUACACUUGGGGGAGAUUCAGGGACACUGGACAUGCUUUAGGAGCCAUGGGCUUUGCUUUUCAAGGUAGUGCACAAUUUGUAUGUUAGAUAGUGUUUCGUUCCUUUUUAUGAUGUCAUAUCAUCGUGAGACUGGAUUCCUGGUGGAUGCUUUAAUUAAAGAAAAGCACAUUCUGCAUGACCGUUAAUGUAGAGCAACAAAUGAGAUGCUGGAGUGAGCAAGAAUGAGACAUGCAAUAUUAUUGUGUAAUUAUGCUUGUUGGGUAACUUAAGGGUGAUUGUCAAGCAGUAUUAAAUUAUUUAAACAUUUCGUCAGCUGGGGAAGUUUAGAGACCCGUAAGUAAGUAUGAAGAUACCUGAAGAGGUUUGUGAUAUGUUCUCUCCAUUCUUGAAUAUGUGUGUGUGUGUGUGUGUGUGUGUGUGUGUGUGUGUGUGUGUGUGUGUGUGUGUGUGUGUAAAGUUGAAUGUAAUUUGUAAUUGUUUUGGUUUUUUAGAGGUCAUUAUGAAUUUUAUUUUAUUUAUUUUUCUAUUUUUUAUUUAAAUUAGAAACAAGCUUUUCUUACACGUCAAUCCCAGUUCCCUCUCCCUCCCCUCCUUCCUUGCCCCCCACUAGCCCCCUAUCCCAUCCCCUUUCUGCUCCCCAGGGAGGGUGAGGCCUUUCAUGGGGGAUCUUCAAAGUCUGUCAUAUCAUUUGGAACAGGGCCUAGAUCCUUCCCCAUGUGUCUAGGCUCAGAGAGUAUCACUCAAUGUGUAAUGGGCUCCCAAAGUCCAUUUGUAUGCUAUGGAUAAAUAUUGAUCUACUACCAGAGGCCCCAUAGAUUAUCUCCUCACUGACACCCACGUUCAGGGGGCUCUGGAUCAGUCCUUUGCUGGUUUUUUGGGGUCCAUGAGCUCCACCUUAUUCAGUUUAGCUAUUUCUGUGGAUUUCACCAGCCUGGUCUUGACCCCUUUGCUCAUCACUCCUCCCUCUCUGCAACUGGAUUCCAGGAGUUCAGUUCAGUGUUUAGCUGUGGGUGUCUGUUUCUGCUUCUAUCAGUUACUGGAUGAAGGCUCUAGGGUGGCAUAUAAGGUAGUCAUUAGUCUCAUUAUCAGAGAAGGGCAUUUAAGGUAGCCUCUCCACUAUUGCUUAGAUUGUUAGUUGGUGUCAUCCUUGUAGAUCUCUGGACAUUUCCCUAGUACCAGAUUUCUCUUUAAACCCAUAAUGGAUCCCUCUAUUAUGGUAUCUCCUAUGUUGGUCUCCUCUGUUCUUCCCCCAAUUCAACCUUCCUGCUCUCUUAUGUCCUCCUCUCCCCUCCUCUUCUCCCUUUCUCUUUCUACUAGCUCCCUCUCCCAUCCCCACCAUGCUCUCAAAUUGCUCAGGAGCCCUUGUCCCUUUCCCCUUCUCCAGGGGACCAUAUAUCUCUCUCUUAGGGUCCUCCUUGUUUCCCAGCUGCUCUGGCGGUGUGGAUUGUAGACUGAUAAUUCUUUGUUCUAUGUCUAAAAUCCAUAUAUGAGUGCAUACAUGCCAUGUUUGUCUUUUUGUGACUGGGUUAUCUCACUCAGAAUGGUUUCUUCUAGUUCUAUCCAUUUUCCUGAAAAUUUCAAGAUUCCAUUGUUUUUUUUCCCACUGAGUAGUACUCCAUUUUAUAAAUGUACCACAUUUUCUCUAUCCAUUCUUCAGUUGAGGGGCAUCUAGGUUGCUUCCAGGUUCUGGCUAUUACAAAUAAUGCUGCUAUGAACAUAGUUGAACAGAUGUCCUGGUUUAUGAAUGUGCAUCUUUUGGGUAUAUGCCUAAGAGUGGAAUUGCUGGAUCUUGUGGUAGAUUGAUUGCCAUUUUAUUGAGGAGUCGCCAUACUGAUUUCCAAAGUGGCUGUACAAGUUGUCACUUCCACCAGCAGUGGAGGAGUGUUCCCCUUUCUCCACAUCCUCUCCAGCAUAAAUUGCUGUUGAUGUUUUUGAUUCUAGCUAUUCUGACAGGAGUAAGAUGUAUCUCAGAGUUGUUUUGAUUUGCAUUUCCCUGAUGGCUGAGGAUGUUGAACACUUUCUUAAGUGUCUAUCAGCCAUUUUAGACUCUUCUAUUGAGAACUCUCUAUUUAGUUCUGUACCCCACUUUUUAAUUGGAUUAUUUGUUGUUUUGGAGACUAGCUUCUUGAGUUCUUUGUAAAAUUUGGAGAUCAGCCCCUGUUAGAUGUGGGGUUGGUGAAUAUCUUUUUGUUUUGUCUUGGUGACUAUGUCCUUUGCCUUACAGAAGCUUCUCAGUUUCAGGAGGUCCCAUUUAUUAAUUGUCGAUCUCAGUGUCUGUGCUACUGGUGUUAUGUUCAGGAAGUGGUCUCCUGUACCAAUUCGUUCAAGGGUACUUCCCACUUUCUCUUCUAAGAGAUUCAUUGUGGCUGGAUUUAUGUUGAGGUCUUUGAUCCAUUUGUGCAUGGCGAUAGAUAUGGAUCUAUCUGCAUUCUUCUACAUUCCAGCAUCCAGUUAUGCCAGCACCAUUUGUUGAAGAUGCUUUCUUUUUUUCCAUUGUAUAAUUUAAGCUUCUUUGUCAAAAAUCAGGUGUUCAUAGGUGUGUGGGUUAUCAGGGUUUUCAAUUUGAUUCCAUUGGUCUACCUGUUUAUUUUUGUGCUAAUACCAAGCUGUUUUCAGGACUAUAGCUCUAUAAUAGAGCUUGAAGUCAGGACUGGUGAUGCCUCUGGAAGUUCCUUUAUUGUACAGGGUUGUUUUGGCUAUCCUGGUGUUUUGUUUUCCCAUAUAAAUUUGAGUUUUGUUCUUUCAAGGUCUGUGAAGAAUUAUUUUGGAAAAAACUUAGUAUUUUUUAAAUGCAAGCUGACUGCAUUGCUUUUUCAGACAAUAAAUACAAUUGGAUUAAUUUAAAUCCUUCAUUGGCCUCUACAAGCUUUAUUGAGAGAAUGCUAGUUUCUAAGUGCUUCUAGGGCACAGAACUUAUUUUUAAUAUGUCAGAAAUUUCCAUGACAUUUUAUUGAUACCUUUAGCUUAUUUAGGAAAACUUUAAGAAGUCAUAAAAAUGUGACUUUAAAUACAGCUAAAGAAUAAUCUUCAAAGAAAAAAUGAAACCUCAGAUACAAGUAGCUAACUUCUUUAUAUAUUGUAUUCUUUUAGACUCAAAAACAAAAUAUGUUGAAAAUGCAACAACACAUGCUGGUUUCAUUGCAUUAGUGUUGAGUCUAAUGACAGACAUUUAUGCAAUAAAGUAUUUUAAAACUCUAAGGAAUAGUCAAUAUUUUCCUUUUGCUGCAAAAAGAUAUUUAGUACCAGGCAGUUUAGUAACACAGUUUUAAUGAUUUUAUAAAUAUCAAACCAUAACUGUUUAAGCGUGUGCACUUGGCUUUUAUUUUUACAAUCUCAUUUAUCAGAUCAUUUUGUGAUUUCCAGGUUAUAUUAUACAAAACCAAAAAUGCUACCACGAACUAAAAACAAAACACCAAAUGUAUGAAUUUAAGCUUAAUGGGACAAAGGCCAAAGAUUAUCACCGAACACUAGAAAAGUAAAAUAUUAAGAAAACAGUAAAAUCGUAACCUUGCUUACGAUAUAAUUGGAAGUAGAUGGACGAGGAAUUGGUAUAGGAAGAGUGGAUUCUGUCUGUAAAUCAGUGAUCCGCAACCUCUGGAUUGUGACCCUUCUGAGGGUAUCAUAUAAAAUAUUUACAUUAUGAUUCAUUUAAAAAAGUAGCAAAAUUACAGUUAUGAGGUAGCAAUGAAAUAAUUUUAUGGUUGGGGGUCACAACAGCAUGAGGAACUGUAUUUAAGGGUCACAGCAGGAAGAAGCUUGAGAACCACUGCUCUAAACAACACAGUCUUGCUGACAUGAGCAGAAUCUUUCUACCCUGCAGAGACUUUGCCCAGUGGCCUGUGAUUUGGUUAAGAAGAAUCAGAGGUUUACCUUGAGUGGACCAAGUCAGCCCAAGCAAAUUUGCUUCCUGUGUUAAUAUACUUCCAGAUGUGCUGUAGAACCAGACGACUACACAGCAUUUUGAAUUAUGUCAUGUUAACAGCUCUUCCAAUCUUACUUUGUUCUCUUAGUCUCACAGCAAGGCAAAAUCAAAAGAUGAGACAGAAGAGCUCCCCAUGGCUGAAUCAGCUGUGGAUGGAUGUUGGAGAGGAAUGGGCACUACAGCUCUCUCAGGGCAAGCUUGGGUACACACUCUGGGACCGCUUGACUCAGAAAGAGGACUCUAGUAUCCUGCUAGCACAAGACUGCCAGGUAUGGAACCAGUGACAAAGAAAGAAGAGUAUGAACACGCGCGCGCACCCGUGCAUGCAUGUGUGCCUGUGUGUGCGUGGGCGCAUGCGCAUGCUGUAUGGGCAAGCACAGGAUAAUCCCGUGCAGCGAUCCCCCCUCCUGCUGCAGCCUAUGUGUUCAGGUGCCAUCUUGGAGGCACGUAUGAAUUAAAGUGCAACUAUUUUACUAACACGACACAGUCGCCUCUUCAUGGUCGCUAGGCCUCAUGUUAUUCUAAGUACAGAUAUGGUAAUCAUUUCUUUGACUGUUACUUGGUUAAAAGCUAAAAUCGUCUGUGGAAUUUUAAGAUUCAGACGAAGAAACGUUUGCUUUUUAGCCUUUGUUGUUUUGAGUCAGGGUCUCCCUUUACAGUCCAGGCUGGCAUGCAGUGUACCAUGCAAGCUAGCUGGCCUGGCAGUCAUGGUAACCCUCUUGUCUGUGUCUUUCCAAGUUAUCAUACAAGCUUUUGAAAGGCUUUAAAUCGAAUUUAAAGCCUUUUAAAAGCCAAUUAAAUUUAAACUGCACACGAAAGAACUUGCAUGGAGGGGGCCCUGGGUCUGUCACCAACACUGCCUGUGUUCACCCAAGCACCAGUCCCCAGCACACGCAUGGAGUUCCUAUUAAAGGUAAUUAAGGGAGAUCUUCCUUAGCACAGUGUGAGAUCUUAUCACAGCUAUUUUACAUGUGGAUAAGAACCCAUCACAUUUGUAAAAUGGGGAAUAAAGCCUAUAGAUAUUAACAUAGCCCCCAUAGUUCUGAAACUUGUUAAUGACCCACUUGUAGACAAAACAGCUAGCCUUAAAGCCUUUUAGUUUAGUUUUGUUUGUUUGUUUUAUUUUUACUUUUGUUUUUCCUGUGAGAUGCUGGCCUGGGCCAUUUUUACAUUACAGAACAUUUAAAAUGCUUUAAAAUGUCUUCCAGAAGAAAUUGACUUGCUUGUAAUUUGCAAACAUGUCCCUUUAAUUUCGACAGCACGAAUGGUGCUAAGGAAACAUGGUUGGUGGACUAAUGGUGGAUUUCUAGGACCCUAAUGAGGCUAUGACUUCUCUCACUGGAAAGACUUCCUCUCCAGGUGGAUCCUCAUGUCUGUCUGUGUGAGUCCAGCCUGGUUUGGCCCAGCAGUACCUUGAUUUAAGUAAUUUCUCCUGGUGUUUUCCCACGGUAUAUAAAGCACCACACAGGCACUUAGUGACUCUCUGGAAAGACAAACUAAGCUCUUUUCAGUUUGUUUUUUAUUUCAGUGUUUUAUUUUUAAAGCUGAUUUUUUUUCUGAGACUAUUUGUUAUCUGUGGAAUUUGAGUUUGUCUAUGCAAAGAAAUCAUUUAAAAUGGAACGAAGCAGUUAUAGUCACUUCAAGCUCUUCAUUGUGUGUGGGGGUUGAUGUUUAUAACAAAACCAAAACGUGACAUAAUCCUCUAUAAAUUGGACGGGAUUUCUGCAUUUAUUCACAGGUCUGCAUUAGUAAAGCUUUUUAUAUACCACGUUUAAAAUCCUUUCCUCGGGGAUAUGCUAAGGAUAUCGACUAGACAUAAAAUGAGUUAGAGUUUCAAAAGCGUUUAUUGAGAUUUUUAGGUUCUUCCGGAGAAAAAUAACGGGCUUUUGUGUAAUGAGAGUGUUUGUUUGUUUGCAGCAACAAAAAACUUUUGCAAAGGCGAGAUCGGUGCACUUUGCAUGCCUAAGAGGUGAGAAUUUUGCGGCUGCGCUUCUAGGCAGCAGCACCAGGAGGCGCUAAUGCACCAUAGUUCGUUGUCGCACUGCCAGCCCAGGUGUUGCCAGCCUGCUCUGAGCUCAGCCUGCCCUGCACCUGCUCUUCAACCCAGGGCCUGACAGUGAUGGACAAACUGCAGGCGAUUUUAGGUGAUUGCUAUUAAGGGCAUAAUUCAGUUUCUUUCUGUAUCUGGGAGGGAUCUUUAUGAGGUGGGCUGAAGGAUGCUGUAGUCUGCUUUUCUUUUUGUUCUUCAUGGCAAGAAUUAGUGGCUCAUGUCUGGAAAGGAGGGAUUGAAACAACGGCUUGCAUUUGCUUGGAUUAAUCACUGGCCACGGAUAUCUUAAGAGGGUCAGGGACUUCCUGCUAUAGAUGAGGAAUUAUUAAGAACCAGAAGUAGCUAAGAGUGUGAUGGAGAGGCAACUGCAUUUCCUUUGAAAACGAUGAAAAUUGAAGAUUGUGAGAUCAAAUGAUCACAAUAAUUAUAAGGUUUGAUUCCAUUUAUUUAUUUAUUUAAUAGGAAAAGUAAAUAUUCUUGUAUUAAGUCACUUCUCAGAACAUGAAAUGCUAGGUGGUUUAGAUAAAAAAAUGUCCAGUGGGGGGAAAAUAAUGAAUAGACUUAAUUCCAUAAUUGCAUUUCAUCAGAUUGAUAUAAGAUUCAUCACUUUAAGUAAGGCAACAAAAGCAAAGUAUAUUUGUCUUGUAAGUGGUGUAAAAACCUUCACAUAGCAUCAAAAAUACGGUACCCUUAUUUUGUUUAUGACAUUUAUGGGGACCUGUCUGUCCCCAGGGAUAUAUUGGUUGAGCAUGGCAGCCAUUGAACAUGGAUGCUGAUGGGCUGUGCCAGGGCUGAGGUAAAACCCAUUCUGCUCUUUGGGUUAUCUUGAACUCUGAACCAAGUUAUUUCUCAAUGAAAAACACCUGAUAUCAGUAAUGGAGGCGGCCUCAGGAUCGUUAAUUCGUUGUAUGGAGUACUGAGAUACGAGCAUCCUUUUCUCUCCCUAUCUUCCUUCUAUUCUUUCUUUGCUUUUCACUUCCUCCAUGCCAGAACUACAAGCAUGUGCCAUAAUGCCUAUCAUGAAUCUUUAAAAUAGAACUGUGCCUGCCAGCCUGGACUCUAACCCUGUGGAACUCUGACCCCAGUACAUGUUUUCUUUUAACAGUCAUCUAGAUAAUUAAAGUUAUAGUUUUUCUUAGUUAUGAUAAAAGAUAAAUUAGAUAUAAAACUUGAAACUCACCAAGAUAAGUUAGAUUUUCUCUAACUUUGUCAAAUACAAAUAGACUAGAUAUUGUAAUUGUAGUUCUUACUUGCUGUUUUGUUGUACAUAAUUUUAUUAUGUUAAAGUUAAAAAACCUUCCUUUUUGACUAGACAGAAAAGGGGAAAUGCUGUAGGAUAAUCCUUCUGUAUACUGUGAAUAUGCACUAAUCUCAUUGGUUGAUAAUAAAGCUGAUUUGGUUUACUUAAGAUAAAUAAAACUAGUCAUCAUUGAGAUAUCUCAUCACUGCAAUAGAAAAGUAGCCAAGGCAUUCAAUAAUAUUUAUGUUCUAGAAUUUAGUGUGUGUGUGUGUGUGUGUGUGUGUGUGUGUGUGUGUGUGUGUGUGUGUGUGUGAAUUUCUGUAUUCACCUCUGUGUGGGGCAUAUGUGUGCAUUCUUGGUAUUAAUGCAUUUGGAAGCCAGAGGCCAAUAUUGAUAUCUUUUUUUACUUACUCACUCCUCACCUCAUUUUUUGAGAUGAGUCUUUCACCAAAUCUGUAGCAUGCCGGUUUGGCUAUAGUAGCUGGCUAGGAAGCCCCAGGGGUCUCUGUUUCUGCUUUCUCAGCACUGGGAUUACAAACAUGACCUCUGCACCCAGUUGUUUUAUGUGGUUUCUGUGGAUUGUAUGUCCCAUGCUUACAAGGGAAUAUAUUUAUUAAAGACUAAGCCAAUUUAGUUUGUAAGCCCCCCAAUUUUGAAUAUUUACUAAGCCUUUGGCUUUAUAUUUGUAACGUUGGAAUUUAUGUGUCUAUUACUGAUUAGGAAACUAUACCUUAUUAUUAAAUAUUUAUCUUGUUUCUUGCUACUG
This 12321-nucleotide long non-coding RNA is filed under the name Cricetulus griseus (Chinese hamster). Its description in RNAcentral is "lncRNA (ENSCGRG00015041162.1)". Lineage: Eukaryota; Metazoa; Chordata; Mammalia; Rodentia; Cricetidae. The record is from RNAcentral.